This 601-nucleotide ribosomal RNA is filed under the name uncultured bacterium. RNAcentral describes it as "bacterial SSU rRNA". It matches the Rfam family "Bacterial small subunit ribosomal RNA", at positions 202 to 802 of the family's 1533-position model. The record is from RNAcentral.
UAAAGGAGAGAUCCGGCAUAGGAUGGACAUGCGUCGCAUUAGGUAGACGGCGGGGUAACGGCCCACCGUGCCGACGAUGCGUAGGGGUUCUGAGAGGAAGGCCCCCCACACUGGUACUGAGACACGGACCAGACUCCUACGGGAGGCAGCAGUGAGGAAUAUUGGUCAAUGGCCGAGAGGCUGAACCAGCCAAGUCGCGUGAGGGAAGAAUGUCCUAAGGAUUGUAAACCUCUUUUGUCGGGGAGCAAAAAGGCUCUGCGGAGUCGUAUUGAGAGUACCCGAAGAAAAAGCAUCGGCUAACUCCGUGCCAGCAGCCGCGGUAAUACGGAGGAUGCGAGCGUUAUCCGGAUUUAUUGGGUUUAAAGGGUGCGCAGGCGGCGUGUCAAGCAAGCGGUAAAAUAGCGGGGCUCAACCCCGUCGAGCCGUUUGAACUGGCGCGCUUGAGUUCAGGCGAGGUAGGCGGAAUUCGUGGUGUAGCGGUGAAAUGCAUAGAUAUCACGAAGAACUCCGAUUGCGAAGGCAGCUUACCAGUCUGCGACUGACGCUCAGGCACGAAAGUGUGGGUAUCGAACAGGAUUAGAUACCCUGGUAGUCCACACAG